GAGAGCCCCGUCUGGUCGGACACCAAGCCUCUGUAAAGCUCCUUCGACGAGUCGAGUAGUUUGGGAAUGCUGCUCUAAAUGGGAGGUAUAUGUCUUCUAAAGCUAAAUACCGGCCAGAGACCGAUAGCGCACAAGUAGAGUGAUCGAAAGAUGAAAAGCACUUUGAAAAGAGAGUUAAAAAGUACGUGAAAUUGUUGAAAGGGAAGCGCUUAUGACCAGACUUGGGCCUGUUUGAUCAACUUGGGUUCUCCCGGGUGCACUCUUUCAGGUUCAGGCCAGCAUCAGUUUGCCGCGGGGGAUAAAGGCUUCGGGAAUGUGGCUCCCCCCGGGGAGUGUUAUAGCCCGUUGCGUAAUACCCUGCGGCGGACUGAGGUUCGCGCAUCUGCAUGGAUGCUGGCGUAAUGGUCAUCAGCGACCCGUCUUGAAACACGGACCAAGGAGUCGUCUUCGUAUGCGAGUGUUCGGGUGUUAAACCCCUACGCGUAAUGAAAGUGAACGCAGGUGAGAGCUUCGGCGCAUCAUCGACCGAUCCUGAUGUUCUCGGAUGGAUUUGAGUAAGAGCAUACGGGGCCGGACCCGAAAGAAGGUGAACUAUGCCUGUAUAGGGUGAAGCCAGAGGAAACUCUGGUGGAGGCUCGCAGCGGUUCUGACGUGCAAAUCGAUCGUCAAAUAUGGGCAUGGGGGCGAAAGACUAAUCGAACCUUCUAGUAGCUGGUUUCCGCCGAAGUUUCCCUCAGGAUAGCAGUGUUGAGCUCAGUUUUAUGAGGUAAAGCGAAUGAUUAGGGACUCGGGGGCGCUAUUUAGCCUUCAUCCAUUCUCAAACUUUAAAUAUGUAAGAAGCCCUUGUUGCUUAAUUGAACGUGGGCAUUCGAAUGUAUCAACACUAGUGGGCCAUUUUUGGUAAGCAGAACUGGCGAUGCGGGAUGAACCGAACGCGAGGUUAAGGUGCCAGAGUAGACGCUCAUCAGACACCACAAAAGGUGUUAGUACAUCUUGACAGCAGGACGGUGGCCAUGGAAGUCGGAAUCCGCUAAGGACUGUGUAACAACUCACCUGCCGAAUGUACUAGCCCUGAAAAUGGAUGGCGCUCAAGCGUCUCACCCAUACCUCGCCCUCGGGGUAGAAACGAUGCCCCGAGGAGUAGGCGGACGUAGAGGUCAGUGACGAACUUCUCAU
RNAcentral lists this ribosomal RNA (1176 nucleotides) under Penicillifer martinii. RNAcentral's name for it is "partial large subunit ribosomal RNA". It matches the Rfam family "Eukaryotic large subunit ribosomal RNA", at positions 214 to 1415 of the family's 3401-position model. The record is from RNAcentral. Lineage: Eukaryota; Fungi; Ascomycota; Sordariomycetes; Hypocreales; Nectriaceae.